CCUACGGGUGACAGCAGUGAGGAAUAUUGGUCAAUGGACGAGAGUCUGAACCAGCCAAGUAGCGUGAAGGAUGACUGCCCUAUGGGUUGUAAACUUCUUUUAUAUGGGAAUAAAAUGUGCGACGUGUGGGAUGUUGUAUGUACCAUAAGAAAAAGGAUCGGCUAACUCCGUGCCAGCAGCCGCGGUAAUACGGAGGAUCCGAGCGUUAUCCGGAUUUAUUGGGUUUAAAGGGAGCGUCGGUGGCUUGUUAAGUCAGUUGUGAAAGUUUGCGGCUCAACCGUACAAUUGCCGUUGAAACUGGCAUUCUUGAGUACGGUAGAGGUGUGCGGAAUUCGUGGUGUAGCGGUGAAAUGCUUCGAUAUCACGCAGAACUCCGAUUGCGAAGGCAGCUCACUGGACUGCAACUGACACUGAGGCUCGAAAGUGUGGGUAUCAAACAGGAUUAGCUACCCUUGUAGUC
This 460-nucleotide ribosomal RNA is filed under the name uncultured bacterium. Its description in RNAcentral is "partial 16S ribosomal RNA". It matches the Rfam family "Bacterial small subunit ribosomal RNA", at positions 338 to 795 of the family's 1533-position model. The record is from RNAcentral.